UACGAGGGGUGCAAACGUUAUUCGGAUUUAUUGGGCGUAAAGGGUGCGUAGACGGCACAUUAAGUCAACUGUUAAAUCUUCCGGCCUAACCGGAAGCCUGCAGUAGAUACUGGUGAGCUUGAGGAUGGAAGAGAGGAGUGGAAUUCUCGGAGUAGCGGUAAAAUGCGUAGAUCUCGAGAGGAACACCGAUGGCGAAGGCAGCUCCUUGGUCCAAUCCUGACGUUGAGGCACGAAAGCGUGGGUAGCAAACAGG
Molecule: ribosomal RNA, 253 nt
Filed under: uncultured bacterium
Lineage: Bacteria
Description: partial 16S ribosomal RNA
Rfam family: Bacterial small subunit ribosomal RNA
Source: RNAcentral